GCCAGACUCCUACGGGAGGCAGCAGUGGGGGAUAUUGCACAAUGGGGGGAACCCUGAUGCAGCGACGCCGCGUGGGUGAAGAAGUAUUUCGGUAUGUAAAGCCCUAUCGGCAGGGAAGAAAUUGGACGGUACCUGACUAAGAAGCCCCGGCUAACUGCGUGCCAGCAGCCGCGGUAAUACGUAGGGGGCAAGCGUUAUCCGGAUUCACUGGGUGUAAAGGGAGCGUAGACGGCCAUGCAAGCCUGGAGUGAAAGCCCGGGGCCCAACCCCGGGACUGCUCUGGGAACUGUGCGGCUGGAGUGCGGGAGGGGCAGGCGGAAUUCCUGGUGUAGCGGUGAAAUGCGUAGAUAUCAGGAGGAACACCGGCGGCGAAGGCGGCCUGCUGGACCGCGACUGACGUUGAGGCUCGAAAGCGUGGGGAGCAAACAGGAUUAGAUACCCGUGUAGGU
RNAcentral lists this ribosomal RNA (449 nucleotides) under uncultured bacterium. RNAcentral's name for it is "bacterial SSU rRNA". It matches the Rfam family "Bacterial small subunit ribosomal RNA", at positions 330 to 794 of the family's 1533-position model. The record is from RNAcentral.